UACGUAGGGUCCGAGCGUUGUCCGGAAUUAUUGGGCGUAAAGAGCGUGUAGGCGGCCAGAUAAGUCCGCUGUGAAAUCUCGAGGCUCAACUUCGAGCUGUCGGUGGAAACUGUCUGGCUAGAGUCCGGAAGAGGAGAAUGGAAUUCCUGGUGUAGCGGUGAAAUGCGCAGAUAUCAGGAAGAACACCCGUGGCGAAGGCGGUUCUCUGGGACGGUACUGACGCUGAGACGCGAAAGCGUGGGGAGCGAACAGG
RNAcentral lists this ribosomal RNA (253 nucleotides) under uncultured bacterium. RNAcentral describes it as "partial 16S ribosomal RNA". It matches the Rfam family "Bacterial small subunit ribosomal RNA", at positions 524 to 776 of the family's 1533-position model. The record is from RNAcentral.